This 669-nucleotide ribosomal RNA is filed under the name uncultured bacterium. Its description in RNAcentral is "bacterial SSU rRNA". It matches the Rfam family "Bacterial small subunit ribosomal RNA", at positions 60 to 719 of the family's 1533-position model. The record is from RNAcentral.
AGUCGAGCGGCAGCGGAAGUAGCUUGCUACUUUGCCGGCGAGCGGCGGACGGGUGAGUAAUGUCUGGGAAACUGCCUGAUGGAGGGGGAUAACUACUGGAAACGGUAGCUAAUACCGCAUGACCUCGAAAGAGCAAAGUGGGGGAUCUUCGGACCUCACGCCAUCGGAUGUGCCCAGAUGGGAUUAGCUAGUAGGUGAGGUAAUGGCUCACCUAGGCGACGAUCCCUAGCUGGUCUGAGAGGAUGACCAGCCACACUGGAACUGAGACACGGUCCAGACUCCUACGGGAGGCAGCAGUGGGGAAUAUUGCACAAUGGGCGCAAGCCUGAUGCAGCCAUGCCGCGUGUGUGAAGAAGGCCUUAGGGUUGUAAAGCACUUUCAGCGAGGAGGAAGGCAUCACACUUAAUACGUGUGGUGAUUGACGUUACUCGCAGAAGAAGCACCGGCUAACUCCGUGCCAGCAGCCGCGGUAAUACGGAGGGUGCAAGCGUUAAUCGGAAUUACUGGGCGUAAAGCGCACGCAGGCGGUUUGUUAAGUCAGAUGUGAAAUCCCCGCGCUUAACGUGGGAACUGCAUUUGAAACUGGCAAGCUAGAGUCUUGUAGAGGGGGGUAGAAUUCCAGGUGUAGCGGUGAAAUGCGUAGAGAUCUGGAGGAAUACCGGUGGCGAA